Molecule: ribosomal RNA, 254 nt
Filed under: uncultured bacterium
Lineage: Bacteria
Description: partial 16S ribosomal RNA
Rfam family: Bacterial small subunit ribosomal RNA
Source: RNAcentral
UACGGGGGGGGCAAGCGUUGUUUGGAAUUACUGGGCGUAAAGGGCUCGUAGGCGGCCAACUAAGUCAGACGUGAAAUCCCUCGGCUUAACCGGGGAACUGCGUCUGAUACUGGAUGGCUUGAGUUUGGGAGAGGGAUGCGGAAUUCCAGGUGUAGCGGUGAAAUGCGUAGAUAUCUGGAGGAACACCGGUGGCGAAGGCGGCAUCCUGGGCCAACACUGACGCUGAGUGAGCGAAAGCCAGGGGAGCAAACGGG